Long non-coding RNA from Cucumis melo (muskmelon), 843 nucleotides. RefSeq lists it as uncharacterized. The record is from RefSeq and is a predicted model, not a curated record. Lineage: Eukaryota; Viridiplantae; Streptophyta; Magnoliopsida; Cucurbitales; Cucurbitaceae. The transcript is spliced from 4 exons.
UUCUUUUGAAAAAUUAUAGAAUCGGUGAGAUUUCAACAACAAAACCAAACUAAUCAAUAACAUUGAAAAAAAAAAGUAUAAUUUUCAAUAAAUUUCGGUGGUGGCGCCACUAGAACAACUGUUUUAACGAAUUUGAGUGCGAACAAUUUCCCCGGUUCCGUUCCGUUGAUUGCAUAGAUUUUCAGAAUUCUUUUGGCGCCAAAGGCAAUGAUGGAACAUUUGGCCCAAACGUCGUCACAUUAACUCCUGACAAUACAGUCUGUGAGGGAGCUUACGUAAGGGAUUUCAAUUCUAUGGAGUAGUGGAAGAAAGAAAUGGAGAAGUUAGUGAAGCAAAAUUGACGGUCCUCUUCAGAUUCCCAAAUCACGAGUUUCUUGAGGGUGGGAUUUUGGGGCCCUUGUGCUGAGAUCAUGUUUCCUUUAUAAAGUUCAUGUGAUGGGUUAUUUGACGCUUCCACUAUUACCGAUGGAAAUUAGAGAGAAAUUCAAAAAGAAAGGGACUUCCUUCGUGUGAGUAUUGGAUCGUUUCUCAGUGGGUUUUGGUCCUUUUUCACGCACAAUAAUUACUACGGCCACAUUCCGAUGAUUCUGUGGUUCCCUUUCAUGAUCUGUCUUGCUCUGUUUGGAGGUUUUAUAUGAUUUUCUAACUGUAAACCUUUUAUUCCUGUAUCAUGAAAGAGGAAUAUACCACCUGGAUAUGUUCUAAUAACAUGGUACAGGCGAUUAUCAGCUUUUAACUCAAUACUUAAGACAUCCCUAUUUCACAUUCAAAGUAAUAUUGUAAACAAGAUGAAUACACACACACACACACACACACACAUAUAUAUGAUAAAACGUUUAUAGA